CAGUCGCCGCGGUAAUACGUAGGGUGCGAGCGUUAAUCGGAAUUACUGGGCGUAAAGCGUGCGCAGGCGGUUUUGUAAGACAGGCGUGAAAUCCCCGGGCUCAACCUGGGAAUGGCGCUUGUGACUGCAAAGCUAGAGUGCGGCAGAGGGGGAUGGAAUUCCGCGUGUAGCAGUGAAAUGCCUAGAUAUGCGGAGGAACACCGAUGGCGAAGGCAAUCCCCUGGGCCUGCACUGACGCUCAUGCACGAAAGCGUGGGGAGCAAACAGGAUUAGAUACCCCCGUAGUCCCUGUCUCUUAUAC
RNAcentral lists this ribosomal RNA (301 nucleotides) under uncultured bacterium. RNAcentral's name for it is "partial 16S ribosomal RNA". It matches the Rfam family "Bacterial small subunit ribosomal RNA", at positions 509 to 807 of the family's 1533-position model. The record is from RNAcentral.